AGGAUCAACGCUGGCGGCGUGCCUUAUGCAUGCAAGUCGCACGCGCCGCAAGGUGAGUGGCGGACGGGUGAGUAACACGUAGGAACCUGCCCGAAAGUGGGGAAUAACUCCUCGAAAGAGGGGCUAAAUACCGCAUGUGGUCGAGAGACUAAAGCUUCGGCGCUUUCGGAGGGCCUGCGGCGAUUAGCUUGUUGGUGGGGUAACGGCCUACCAAGGCGACGAUCCGUAGC
Molecule: ribosomal RNA, 230 nt
Filed under: uncultured bacterium
Lineage: Bacteria
Description: partial small subunit ribosomal RNA
Rfam family: Bacterial small subunit ribosomal RNA
Source: RNAcentral